Molecule: ribosomal RNA, 365 nt
Filed under: uncultured eukaryote
Lineage: Eukaryota
Description: partial 18S ribosomal RNA
Rfam family: Eukaryotic small subunit ribosomal RNA
Source: RNAcentral
CAAUAGCGUAUAUUAACGUUGUUGCAGUUAAAAAGCUCGUAGUUGGAUUUCUGGAGGGAGCGUCGGCCCGUAUUUACGAGUGCGUGACGUCUCUGUCCAUCCUUGCGGGAAGGCACGGCAUUGAUUUGUUGUGUCGGAUCGCAUCAUUUACUGUGAAAAAAUUAGAGUGUUCAAAGCAGGCUUUCGCUUGAAUACAUUAGCAUGGAAUAAUAAGAUAGGACUUUGGUGCUAUUUUGUUGGUUGAGCCUAAAGUAAUGAUUAAUAGGGAUAGUUGGGGGCACCUGCAUUGCGUUGUCAGAGGUGAAAUUCUUGGAUUUACGCAAGACAAACAGCUGCGAAAGCGUCUGCCAAGGAUGUUUUCAUUA